This is a long non-coding RNA of Mesocricetus auratus (golden hamster), 951 nucleotides long. RefSeq lists it as uncharacterized. NCBI's taxonomy places the organism in Eukaryota, Metazoa, Chordata, Mammalia, Rodentia, Cricetidae. The transcript has 3 exons. The record is from RefSeq and is a predicted model, not a curated record.
ACGAAAAUUCUUUGGUGACUUUAACAGGAACUUCCAGACAGGGAAGUGGCAAAUAGAUCCGUCUUCAUUCAAGGAGAGGUGAAAAUUACUUAAAUAAGAAGACAAUCACAAUCCCUGCCGAAACUGUCUUCCUCCUUCCGAUUCCGCCCAGGCCAAGAGCAGGUUUCGACUCUCGCGAAAACGAUGCAGUUUCAUCCUAUCCUUAGCUGUAUGAGGAAACAGCCUUUUAUCUGAUAUAAACUCAUGUUUGGUAAAUGUCUUCUCAGAGUUUUAUCCUCCGUGCUUCAGCAACUAGUGACAUGUGGAACCUGUGAACUCCAAUGACCCAGAUCUGCGACUGGAUUUCAGAGGUUCCUCUGCUUCUGAGGAGCAGAAAACACUUCCUGAAAAAUGCUCUUGUCUUUAUUUUACCUUGUCAUUCCAAAAUGAUGGCUGUUCUACAGAUAAGCAAAAGAGUCACUUCCAAGCAGGCACUGGGCUUUGAGCAAAUCUGAGGUUGUUCUUGGGAGUCGGCGCUAAAAUCUUUUAGACGCUGCGCUACAUAUGAACCAUGCUUCAGAGGCCUGCACUGUGAGGAGUCAUUAUGAAGAAUCCAUGUCUAUGUCUGAACCAACUUCUCCAAGAGCUUCUCCACUUCCAAAAGCUCCCAGAUCACGGCCCAAGAAGUGCUUUCUGAGUCAGGCUUUCCCUGGGCCAAUUUAUGCACAGCCGGUCCCACUUUCCGAGUGUACCAUUAAAAAUAGGGGCAUUUCUUGUAUCAGCUUUUGGGGUGAGUGGGCUCAAAGUGUCCUUUUCAGGGACUAAGGAAGGGGUAAAUUUGCUUCUGUUUGAUUCGGUGCUGUCCCAGUUGUCCGAGUCCUUAUAGUAUAUGACUUUAUUGUCGAAUAAAAACCGCUAAGACAAUGUGUAUUUUUUUGAAUGUGGAAAAUGUUCUUUUUGUGUGUGCUUUUU